This 253-nucleotide ribosomal RNA is filed under the name uncultured bacterium. RNAcentral's name for it is "partial 16S ribosomal RNA". It matches the Rfam family "Bacterial small subunit ribosomal RNA", at positions 524 to 776 of the family's 1533-position model. The record is from RNAcentral.
UACGUAGGGUGCAAGCGUUAAUCGGAAUUACUGGGCGUAAAGCGUGCGCAGGCGGUUUUGCAAGUCAGAUGUGAAAUCCCCGGGCUUAACCUGGGAACUGCAUUUGUGACUGCACGGCUAGAGUGCGGCAGAGGGGGAUGGAAUUCCGCGUGUAGCAGUGAAAUGCGUAGAUAUGCGGAGGAACACCGAUGGCGAAGGCAAUCCCCUGGGCCUGCACUGACGCUCAUGCACGAAAGCGUGGGGAGCAAACAGG